This 1704-nucleotide ribosomal RNA is filed under the name Phocaeicola vulgatus. Its description in RNAcentral is "bacterial LSU rRNA". It matches the Rfam family "Bacterial large subunit ribosomal RNA", at positions 689 to 2401 of the family's 2925-position model. Lineage: Bacteria; Pseudomonadati; Bacteroidota; Bacteroidia; Bacteroidales; Bacteroidaceae. The record is from RNAcentral.
AGGGCGUAUAGUCGGCAGUGGCAGACGCGAAACCAAGUGAUCUACCCUUGGCCAGGUUGAAGGCUGGGUAACACCAGCUGGAGGACCGCACCAAUAAGCGUUGAAAAGCUUCUGGAUGAGCUGAGGGUAGGGGUGAAAGGCUAAUCAAACUUGGAGAUAGCUCGUACUCCCCGAAAUGCAUUUAGGUGCAGCCUUGCGGGUUACUGAUGUGAGGUAGAGCGACUGAUAAGAUGCGAGGGCUUCACCGCCUAUCAAGUCUUGACAAACUCCGAAUGCGCAUCAGUUCUACCGCAGGAGUGAGGGCAUGGGUGCUAAGGUCCGUGCCCGAGAGGAGAAGAAUCCGGACCACCUGCUAAGGUCCCGAAAUGACAGCUAAGUUAAACUAACGAAGUCUGACUGCUAAGACAGCUAGGAUGUUGGCUUGGAAGCAGCCAUUCAUUUAAAGAGUGCGUAACAGCUCACUAGUCGAGGAGUCGGGCGUGGAUAAUAAUCGGGUAUUAAGUUGUCUACCGAAGCAGUGGGAUCAUUUAUAUGAUCGGUAGGGGAGCAUUCCAGUCAGCGUCGAAGGCGUACCGUGAGGUAUUCUGGAGCGUCUGGAAAAGCAAAUGUAGGUAUAAGUAACGAUAAAGGGGGCGGGAAACCCCCUCGCCGAAAGACUAAGGUUUCCUGAUCAACGCUAAUCGGAUCAGGGUCAGUCGGGUCCUAAGGCUCAGCCGAACGGCGAUGCCGAUGGCAGAAACGGUUAAUAUUCCGUUACUACCUUCAGGAGUGACGUGGAGACGCAGUAGUGACAGUGCCGCCAUCUGACGGAAUAGAUGGUUGAAGGGUGUAGGAGUCGAUCAUGGCAGGCAAAUCCACCAUGAGAUCCGAACCUGAGAGUAUGCCGCGUCCUUCGGGACAAGGCAAUAGUGCGCGUAAGCAUGCUGCCGAGAAAAUCCGCUAAACUUAAUCCUGCAGGUACCCGUACCGCAAACGGACACACGUAGUCGGGAUGAAUAUUCUAAGGCGCUUGAGUGAUUCACGGUUAAGGAACUAGGCAAACUGACCCUGUAACUUCGGGAUAAAGGGUCCCUACCCUUUUAUGGGAGGGCGCAGAGAAUCGGUCCAGGCAACUGUUUAACAAAAACACAGGGCUGUGCCAAAUCGAAAGAUCCAGUAUACAGCCUGACACCUGCCCGGUGCUGGAAGGUUAAGAGGAGAUGUCAUCGAUGAGAGAAGCGUUGAAUUGAAGCCCCAGUAAACGGCGGCCGUAACUAUAACGGUCCUAAGGUAGCGAAAUUCCUUGUCGGGUAAGUUCCGACCUGCACGAAUGGUGUAAUGAUCUGGACGCUGUCUCAACCGUGAGCUCAGUGAAAUUGUAGUAUCGGUGAAGAUGCCGAUUACCCGCGAUGGGACGAAAAGACCCCGUGAACCUUUACUAUAGCUUAUCAUUGAAUCUGGGCACGUGAUGUGUAGGAUAGGUCGGAGGCUUUGAAGCAGGUACGCCAGUAUUUGUGGAGCCGCUGUUGAAAUACGACCCUUUAUUUGUUUGGAUUCUAACCCGUGGAACGGGGACAUUGAUUGGUGGGUAGUUUGACUGGGGUGGUCGCCUCCAAAAGCGUAACGGAGGCUUCUAAAGGUGCCCUCCGGCCGAUUGGUAACCGGCCUUAGAGUGUAAUGGCAUAAGGGCGCUUGACUGGGAGACUGACAAGUCGAUCAGGUAGG